Molecule: ribosomal RNA, 274 nt
Filed under: uncultured bacterium
Lineage: Bacteria
Description: partial 16S ribosomal RNA
Rfam family: Bacterial small subunit ribosomal RNA
Source: RNAcentral
AUACGGAGGGGGCUAGCGUUGUUCGGAAUUACUGGGCGUAAAGCGCACGUAGGCGGAUUAAAAAGUUAGAGGUGAAAUCCCAGGGCUUAACCCUGGAACUGCCUUUAAAACUAGUAGUCUAGAGUUCGAGAGAGGUGAGUGGAAUUCCAAGUGUAGAGGUGAAAUUCGUAGAUAUUUGGAGGAACACCAGUGGCGAAGGCGGCUCACUGGCUCGAUACUGACGCUGAGGUGCGAAAGCGUGGGGAGCAAACAGGAUUAGAAACCCCGGUAGUCC